This is a long non-coding RNA of Balaenoptera musculus (blue whale), 904 nucleotides long. RefSeq lists it as uncharacterized. NCBI's taxonomy places the organism in Eukaryota, Metazoa, Chordata, Mammalia, Artiodactyla, Balaenopteridae. The record is from RefSeq and is a predicted model, not a curated record. The transcript is spliced from 4 exons.
GCAAUCCUGCUAACUCGGGCGCAUUGAAUCUUGGCCCAACAGAUUUACUCCAUUAUUAAGUAUGAGCUGAUCUAUGUGAAGCAAACAAGUAGAAGAAGCCAACAGAAGAGGGGUCCAUGUGUAUGGACAGAGCUGGAGUGAUCCAUGCUUCAACGGCAGUCCCUUCAACCUUGCCUGAAUGUGGAGGCUGCACAGAUCACAAGCUCCGCAGACUGCAAGACCGCUUUGCUCCAAAGAAGCUGACCACUGUUUGGUUCCCCAGCAUAUCAAAGCUAACCUGAAUAGUUUAAGUUGUGUUUCAGUUGAUGAAUAGAACUUCACGGAACCACACAACAACAGUGGAGGUGACCUGCUGUUUUACAUUCUCUAUUAUACCCUGCUAAGGAAGUUAUUUUGCAGUGACAAAGCUUCUUUUCUAGUGUCCUGACAAAUCCUAGGAUUUUGAUGUUGGGAAUUCUUCCCUCCCAUCAAAUAUUGGUUCUAAAUCCACAGAACUAUUUGAGAAACCAGAUAGAAAAUUAUGCUAUCCCAUGAUAUAUGAAGAGCAACAUUUAUAUCGCGUUGUGGGUGUGGAAAUCAAGAGAUGCUACUGAUGGUUUGGAAAGAUGAAAGAGAUCAACAUCAAAAAGAUGUCAGUAAUUUAAAAUAUAAUAUUAAACUUUAUUCUUAAAAUGAGAGAGAUACACACAAGGAAGAGACAACUGCCCUGGACACUAGCAUGUGCAAUUGUGAUGACUAGAUAUGCUGCAGCCAUCUUGCAACCAGAGAGGAGCCAGCUGGAAAACAAAGCUAACACAAUGAGAUCACACAGCAGAAAAUGAAAAGAACCUGAAUCCUUGAUAAUCCGAAUGAGCUGAUGGAUUAAACCUGGAGUAUACCUACUAUGGGUUUCCUGUCAUCUCAA